This 1594-nucleotide unclassified non-coding RNA is filed under the name Hevea brasiliensis (rubber tree). The record is from RNAcentral. Lineage: Eukaryota; Viridiplantae; Streptophyta; Magnoliopsida; Malpighiales; Euphorbiaceae.
AAAGAUAAUGAGACCACAGCAGGUUCAUUCUAACUAUUGCUUGAAUUUUUUUGGGUUUCUUCUUGAUGUAUUUUGUUUGAUUAUUGUUUAUAAUUCAGUUUUGUUAUAAACAUGAACCUUUCUCUAAAAUCUGCAAUUGAUGCCAUGUCACAUGGCAGACCAACUAGGUUUUGUUAAGCAAGAACCUGUGUGGUUAAUCUUUACAAGUAAACCAAUAUGAUAACUGUACUGUUAUAGUUGACGUUGGUUAUGUGCUCUGGUGAAAAUUUUGAACCAAAUUCUGAUCUGGGUCCAUGGCCUCUUUUAGAGAGGCUGGAGUUGAAUCAAUCUGAUUCUAACAUCCUUUUAAGUUCCCCUUGAUAAGUUAAUAGCAAAUGUUAGAGAAGUAAUACCUAUGAUCAAGGACUUAUUUUAGGGUGUAAAAGACAUGCCACAGUUAAAGUGACACUGUUUAGGGUUGUACAUUCCUUUUCCAAAAUUUUUGCUCUCAAAAAAUUCUUGUCAGUGGCAAUAGACUACAAUUUGCUUUAUGUGUGAUUGUGAUAUUUAGAAAUCUAGUAAUUGUGAAUGCUGUUAACUGUGAUAAAAAGCUAAAAUCAUACUAUCGGAACCUCACCCAAUUCUCAUAGAGACUGGUUAAUUUUGUUCAUUCAGACAAUCAUUUGUUUGGGAUUGGUUUCAAAUAGAAUUGAAUGGUGAAAAAUGAUCUAUAUAGUUGAGCUCAACUAGUUUGGAUUAAGAUUUAGUUGUUAUUGAUGUAGACAAUUUUUUUAAUUGAAUCUCAGUGCUAGUUGCAUAUAUUUGAUGUUAUCUAAUGUCUCAAGAGAAGUUGUGUCGUACAGUCACUGUCAAGAUCGUUGCACUAUUGGUAGGUUUCAUGGAAAAGAAAACAAAAAUCUGGAGGAUUUGAGUGGAAGAAGUGUAUUGGGGUUUCAUUUAUUCACAAAGUUGACAGUAAGGACUAGGGUUGUAACAAUUACAGGACAUACACGGUGCAGAUCUAGGAGGCAUAAUGUAUAGAUCUAUAAAAUUAUGGGACAUAAAAAAAUGGAAGUGAUGGCUUGGUACCUAUUCAAGAAGUUAAUUGGGGAUUGUCUACAACUGCUUUUUGACAGCUACUAUUACUAUUGUUGUUGCUGUUACUUCUUCCAUAUCUGAAUCUAUAACAUAUAUAGAUACAUUUCUAUACUUAUUUCUAGGAGUGAGCAUUCGGUUAACCAAACCAAAUCAAACCAAACCAAAUUGAACCAAAUUUCUAACUAACCUAUAAAAUAAUUAUCAAUGAUAUAUAUUCAUUAAUUAAUAAAAUUUGGUUAUUUUGGUUACUAUGUCAAAGAUAACUAAAACUAUAACCGAUAACUAACUGAAAUUUUCAAGAAUUGGUAAUCAAAAACUCUAUUUAUGACUAAAUACUUGCAUGCUUUGUUCUUAUAUAGAAUUUUAGGCUCAUCCAGUGGUUGUAGGCUUUCUUUUUUCAUCAUCAAACUGGACAUGAAUGCUGGAAAGAAUUGUGUUAGGAAGAAAUUUUGCAGCAAUUUGUUAUGUUUGUGAAUGUUGUCUGUGGUUAUAUAGGUCUACACUGGGGCAUGGCUUC